RNAcentral lists this microRNA precursor (96 nucleotides) under Cricetulus griseus (Chinese hamster). RNAcentral's name for it is "miRNA (ENSCGRG00001009006.1)". The record is from RNAcentral. Lineage: Eukaryota; Metazoa; Chordata; Mammalia; Rodentia; Cricetidae.
AGAGGCAGGCAGAUCUCUGUGAGUUCGAGGCCAGCCUGGUCUACAGAACAAGUUCCAGGACAGCCAGGACUACAUGGAGACACCCUGUCUAAAGAA